GCUUGUCUCAAAGAUUAAGCCAUGCAUGUCUAAGUAUAAGCAAUUAUACAGCGAAACUUGCGAAUGGCUCAUUAUAUAAGUUAUCGUUUAUUUGAUAGUACCUUACUACUUGGAUAACCGUGGUAAUUCUAGAGCUAAUACAUGCUAAAAAUCCCGACUUCGGAAGGGAUGUAUUUAUUAGAUUAAAAACCAAUGCCCUCUGGGCUCCUUGGUGAUUCAUAAUAACUUUUCGAAUCGCAUGGCCUUGCGCCGGCGAUGGUUCAUUCAAAUUUCUUCCCUAUCAACUUUCGAUGUUUGGGUAUUGGCCAAACAUGGUCGCAACGGGUAACGGAGGGUUAGGGCUCGACCCCGGAGAAGGAGCCUGAGAAACGGCUACUACAUCCAAGGAAGGCAGCAGGCGCGCAAAUUACCCAAUCCCGAUUCGGGGAGGUAGUGACAAUAAAUACUGAUACAGGGCUCUUUUGGGUCUUGUAAUUGGAAUGAGUACAAUUUAAAUCCCUUAACGAGGAACAAUUGGAGGGCAA
Molecule: ribosomal RNA, 524 nt
Filed under: Akanthomyces muscarius
Lineage: Eukaryota; Fungi; Ascomycota; Sordariomycetes; Hypocreales; Cordycipitaceae
Description: SSU rRNA
Rfam family: Eukaryotic small subunit ribosomal RNA
Source: RNAcentral